Molecule: ribosomal RNA, 405 nt
Filed under: Triticum aestivum (bread wheat)
Lineage: Eukaryota; Viridiplantae; Streptophyta; Magnoliopsida; Poales; Poaceae
Description: partial small subunit ribosomal RNA
Source: RNAcentral
AUGAACUAUGAGGAAGCGGUAAUGAGCUCAGAUUCCGCAAAAUGGCUUGAGGCCAUGAAAUCUGAGAUGGGAUCUAUGUAUGAGAACAAAGUGUGGACUUUGGUUGACUUGCCCGAUGAUCGGCAAGCCAUCGAGAAUAAAUGGAUCUUCAAGAAGAAGACUGACGCUGACGGUAAUGUUACUGUCUACAAAGCUCGACUUGUUGUGAAAGGUUUUCGACAAGUUCAAGGAGUUGACUACGAUGUGACAUUCUCACCCGUAGCGAUGCUUAAGUCCGUCCGAAUCAUGUUAGCAAUUGCUGCAUUUUAUGAUUAUGAAAUUUGGCAAAUGGAUGUAAAGACUGCAUUCUUGAAUGGAUUUCUGGAAGAGGAGUUGUAUAUGAUGUGGAAGAGGAGUUGUCUAUGA